RNAcentral lists this ribosomal RNA (165 nucleotides) under uncultured bacterium. RNAcentral describes it as "partial 16S rRNA". It matches the Rfam family "Bacterial small subunit ribosomal RNA", at positions 355 to 511 of the family's 1533-position model. The record is from RNAcentral.
UAGGGAAUCUUCGGCAAUGGGGGCAACCCUGACCGAGCAACGCCGCGUGAGUGAAGAAGGUUUUCGGAUCGUAAAACUCUGUUGUUAGAGAAGAACGUGUGUGAGAGUGGAAAGUUCACACAGUGACGGUAACUUACCAGAAAGGGACGGCUAACUACGUGCCAG